AUUGAACGCUGGCGGCAGGCCUAACACAUGCAAGUCGAACGGUAACAGGAAACAGCUUGCUGUUUCGCUGACGAGUGGCGGACGGGUGAGUAAUGUCUGGGAAACUGCCUGAUGGAGGGGGAUAACUACUGGAAACGGUAGCUAAUACCGCAUAACGUCGCAAGACCAAAGAGGGGGACCUUCGGGCCUCUUGCCAUCGGAUGUGCCCAGAUGGGAUUAGCUAGUAGGUGGGGUAACGGCUCACCUAGGCGACGAUCCCUAGCUGGUCUGAGAGGAUGACCAGCCACACUGGAACUGAGACACGGUCCAGACUCUUACGGGAGGCGGCAGUGGGGAAUAUUGCACAAUGGGCGCAAGCCUGAUGCAGCCAUGUCGCGUGUAUGAAGAAGGCCUUCGGGUUGUAAAGUACUUUCAGCGGGGAGGAAGGGAGUAAAGUUAAUACCUUUGCUCAUUGACGUUACCCGCAGAAGAAGCACCGGCUAACUCCGUGCCAGCCGCCGCCGUAA
RNAcentral lists this ribosomal RNA (506 nucleotides) under uncultured bacterium. RNAcentral's name for it is "partial 16S ribosomal RNA". It matches the Rfam family "Bacterial small subunit ribosomal RNA", at positions 30 to 523 of the family's 1533-position model. The record is from RNAcentral.